Molecule: ribosomal RNA, 207 nt
Filed under: uncultured bacterium
Lineage: Bacteria
Description: partial 16S ribosomal RNA
Rfam family: Bacterial small subunit ribosomal RNA
Source: RNAcentral
CGCGUAGGCGGUUAGUUAAGUCAGCUGUGAAAUUCCGUGGCUCAACCACGGAGCUGCAUUUGAAACUAAUUAGCUAGAGAACAGUUAGGGUAAACGGAAUUCCACGUGUAGCGGUGAAAUGCGUAGAUAUGUGGAAGAACACCGGUGGUGAAGACGGUUUACUGGGCUGUUACUGACGCUGAGGCGCGAAAGCAUGGGGAGCAAACA